AGGCUGUGUCCUAUUAAGUGUA
Molecule: microRNA, 22 nt
Filed under: Tetranychus urticae (two-spotted spider mite)
Lineage: Eukaryota; Metazoa; Arthropoda; Arachnida; Trombidiformes; Tetranychidae
Description: tur-miR-5733-3p
Source: miRBase by way of RNAcentral